AGGAGCGCUCGCUAGGCAGGAACCCGUGUACUUGACUCCAGCAGACAGGAGCAGUAGAUCACCUAGCUCUCCUGAACAUAGCUAGGAAGGAUUUGGUAAGACAGAAAGAAAGGGAAGAGCAGGCCAGUUUGCUAAACAGCAGGUGCGGGGGGAGGGAAUAUCUCCUAAAGAAUGUGGUAUUAACAAACAGGGUUCUUGUGUGUCCUACGAAAGAGAUUACCUGAAAGGGAUUUUAUCCACUUGAAAUAGUAGAUGGUAACAAUCCAAGGAUUCUGAUUGUCCAAGCUUAGUUUUCAAAUACGUACCUUGGGAAGAUCAGCACUAAGACACUUCACAAGAAGAGAAAUACUGCUCCCAAAGUUUCCAGGAUUUAACACACACACAGCAUAUAUUAGGAAUCCAAUGAACACAUAAUCCCAAAAAUUAUAAUGAAUUGGCUAUCCAAAAGAUUUUCUGAGACCUCCAAACUGCAUAAAAGUCUGUCAGAAAUCUAAUUAAUCAACUCUACUGUCUUGAAGCAAAAAUCACCAUAUGCUUUGUGCAGUUGCUUGGCUUAGUAAGGCCUUGAAAAUGCAGGUAUUUACUGAUAAAUUAGAGAGAAUGUGAAGUUUGAUGGAGUCUUAGUCAUAACAUUUUAAAACAAAUAGUAUUUGCAGUAAGAUAAAAGAUGAUUUAUAAAGGAUUAGCAAAAAUAUUUUGCUAAUUGUAGACAAGCACUGGUUUCAAACUCGACAUCCAUUUUGCCUACAGUCAUACAAUCCAGCUAUUCCCCCAUUACUGAAAACACAGGUGAAUAAGAGAAUAAUCUUCUUGCAUUUUGCAUGAGAAGAAACAAAACUUUAUAAAGUUAUUUUCUUCACUAAUGCCAGACAUAUUCCAUCCUUAUUUUAUUUCGGUAUUUUGCAGGAUGAAGUUAUAAUGGAAUAGCUUUCUGCAAAUGCUGCCAUUUUGUUGUGCGUAGUCAUUUAAGACUAAACAACUUUCUACAUAGGCUGUUUGUAUGUGGGCAGCAGAGUUGUUUUGUUAUUCUGUAUUACGUUGUUUAUGUUCUUAGAGGGUCAUCUUCCACAACAGCCUAUAAGAAGCACAAGGUUUUGUAAAGAUAUAUCCUCAGAUGAUCACAUUCCUGAGUGACAGCUUUUAUUUCUUAUUUAUUUAUUUACAGCUUCAUUCUGAGGGAGAAACCAACUAUUACCAGAGACACUCAGUUGCAGCCACUUCUCAUUUGGGCUUCCCUCCCAAUGUUGUGGAGUCCAACUUCCAUCAGCCUCAGCCACCACAGCCGGUGGUCAAGGAAGUUGGGAGCUGUAGUCCAACAAAAUCUGGAGGGCCACACAUUCCACAUCCCUGAGAAUCCCCCGGCCUAUGUACAACACUCAAUACCUGUUCCUUCAGUGGCAUUCAAAUAGAGCCACAUUUUAGAUUCAGCCUUAAAUGCUAAUAGUUGUCAUGAUCCAUUACCAAUCACUUUCCAGCAGAUAACUAAAAACCAUUAACAUUUUAAUUUAGGUUUCAGAUUGUAUACUCCACAAAAUAUUUACCAGCUAAAUCAACAUUCAUGCACUGUUGUAAUUCUGGAAUCAAAUAAGAAGGAAGGGAGGCAAUUGUUCUAUCCAGCUUGGAUAGUCACCCUUGCUUCUCUAUACAACUGUAUUACUAUCCAAUUCCAUUUAUCCUCAACAUAUGAGCAAAAUAAUUACUUGUACUGCAGUGAGCAAGGCUUCAACUUAAACUGGCUGCACUUCAAAAUCUCAUGAAAUUAGUAAUCUGUUGAAUACGUAUGCCUUGUAUCCAUAUCACAAGAACUUAUUUUAUAGAUGUUACGUAUGUCUCAUUGUUGCCAGACUCGUCUUUAUUCACUCUUGGUUUACCACAUGUUAGAGUUGACAGACAACAUCUACACAAACAUAUAUGAACAGGUGCAGGUACAAUAGGAAGCUGUGUUUCCACAACUCAUAGUGUACCUCUUGAAGAGAGGCAGAAGUCCCUGGUCUAUUUUCCAGUGACACAAAGUCAUGUGUAAAUAGGGGUCAUUCACUAAUUCCAGAUGUAGGUCUAAUUCUCACAAACAGCAGAUGAGGUUACAAACCCACGUGCAGACCGUACAACUUCAGACUGCAGGUGAAGACCCACACUUGAAUGCUUGUUCACAAGAAAACAACUUUUUAAAAACCCUGCACACAAUUAACAUAGCAGGAGAAAGCAGUGAUCAAACUGGGCAAUCAAAUGGGAAAUGCUGUUCAGUGUAACAACAAGUGUGGCUUUGGGCUCCUACUGGGAGUAAGGGUGGGAUAUAAAUGCAAUAAAUAAAUAAAUAAUAAAGUGAUGCACAUUGGGGCAAAAAUCCUAACUUCAAAUAUAUACUGACUAUAUAUUCUUUGCUGCUGCUGAUUGACCAGGAAGACAUCUUGGUGUCAUGGUGGAUUAGCUUU
Molecule: long non-coding RNA, 2432 nt
Organism: Rhineura floridana
Lineage: Eukaryota; Metazoa; Chordata; Lepidosauria; Squamata; Rhineuridae
Exons: 3
Source: RefSeq, a predicted model, not a curated record